GGCGAGGUGGCCGAGUGGUUAAGGCGACAGACUAGAAGUACUGUUCCUGUGACUGCUUCAGCCAUCUGUUGGGUUCGCCCGCGUAGGUUCAAAUCCUGCCCUCGUCG
Non-coding RNA from Plectosphaerella cucumerina, 107 nucleotides. The record is from the annotation of a GenBank genome assembly. NCBI's taxonomy places the organism in Eukaryota, Fungi, Ascomycota, Sordariomycetes, Glomerellales, Plectosphaerellaceae.